AUCUAGCUGUCGAGUCCAAAAUGGGACGAAACAUGCGUCCUGGAU
This 45-nucleotide non-coding RNA is filed under the name Schistosoma margrebowiei. The record is from RNAcentral. Lineage: Eukaryota; Metazoa; Platyhelminthes; Trematoda; Strigeidida; Schistosomatidae.